GAAAUGCGAUAAGUAAUGUGAAUUGCAGAAUUCAGUGAAUCAUCGAAUCUUUGAACGCACAUUGCGCCCGCCAGUAUUCUGGCGGGCAUGCCCGUUCGAGCGUCAUUACAACCCUCAGGCCCCCGGGCCUGGCGUUGGGGAUCGGCGGAAGCCCCCUGCGGGCACAACGCCGUCCCCCAAAUACAGUGGCGGUCCCGCCGCAGCUUCCAUUGCGUAGUAGCUAACACCUCGCAACUGGAGAGCGGCGCGGCCACGCCGUAAAACACCCAACUUCUGAAUGUUGACCUCGAAUCAGGUAGGAAUACCCGCUGAACUUAAGC
RNAcentral lists this unclassified non-coding RNA (320 nucleotides) under plant metagenome. Its description in RNAcentral is "partial contains 5.8S ribosomal RNA, internal transcribed spacer 2, and large subunit ribosomal RNA". The stretch from base 1 to 105 matches the Rfam family "5.8S ribosomal RNA", at positions 50 to 154 of the family's 154-position model. The record is from RNAcentral.